UACGUAGGGUGCAAGCGUUGUCCGGAAUUAUUGGGCGUAAAGAGCUCGUAGGCGGUUUGUCGCGUCGGAUGUGAAAUCCCGGGGCUUAACCCCGGGUCUGCAUUCGAUACGGGCUGACUAGAGUUCGGCAGGGGAGACUGGAAUUCCUGGUGUAGCGGUGAAAUGCGCAGAUAUCAGGAGGAACACCGGUGGCGAAGGCGGGUCUCUGGGCCACUACUGACGCUGAGAAGCGAAAGCAUGGGGAGCGAACAGG
Molecule: ribosomal RNA, 253 nt
Filed under: uncultured bacterium
Lineage: Bacteria
Description: partial 16S ribosomal RNA
Rfam family: Bacterial small subunit ribosomal RNA
Source: RNAcentral